ACCCCCAGCCCUUCUCCUCCUCCUCCUUUCAUAUCCUCUGUGAGGACACCCAGCAGCCCAGAAGAUGAUGGUGAGCCUGGAGGAGUUCAGCUAGCCGCUGCUGGGGCUGCAGCUUCAUUCUGGUUGCCGUCGGAGAUGAGAAAGACCCUCCCUGUGCAGGACCAGAGGGUUCUGGGCGGGGCCGUCCAACUCCUCAUCUCAGAGGAGCCUACAGACCUCGGUCUUUGGACGGUCCUCCAUUCGUACAUUUUUGUUGUUAAUGUCUGU
Pseudoliparis swirei is the source of this 267-nucleotide long non-coding RNA. RefSeq lists it as uncharacterized. The transcript has 3 exons. The record is from RefSeq and is a predicted model, not a curated record. Lineage: Eukaryota; Metazoa; Chordata; Actinopteri; Perciformes; Liparidae.